Benincasa hispida (wax gourd) is the source of this 159-nucleotide small nuclear RNA. RefSeq annotates it as U1 spliceosomal RNA. NCBI's taxonomy places the organism in Eukaryota, Viridiplantae, Streptophyta, Magnoliopsida, Cucurbitales, Cucurbitaceae. The record is from RefSeq and is a predicted model, not a curated record.
AUAUUAACCUGGACGGAGUCUUUGAGCGAUCAAGAAGCCUCAUGGCUUGGGUUAGAGAUUCCCAUUGCACUCUGAAAAGUUCUCCUAAGGUCUGUCCAACGUGGCAGAACCUACGUCGUAAUUUGGGGUAGUGGGGGCUUGCGUUCGCGCAGCCUCUGA